RNAcentral lists this unclassified non-coding RNA (331 nucleotides) under soil metagenome. Its description in RNAcentral is "partial contains 5.8S ribosomal RNA, internal transcribed spacer 2, and large subunit ribosomal RNA". The stretch from base 1 to 120 matches the Rfam family "5.8S ribosomal RNA", at positions 35 to 154 of the family's 154-position model. The record is from RNAcentral.
GAUGAAGAACGUAGCGAAAUGCGAUAAGUAAUGUGAAUUGCAGAAUUCAGUGAAUCAUCGAAUCUUUGAACGCACAUUGCGUCCCCUGGUAUUCCGGGGGGCAUGCCUGUUCGAGCGUCAUUUCACCACUCAAGCCUCGCUUGGUAUUGGGCAACGCGGUCCGCCGCGUGCCUCAAAUCGACCGGCUGGGUCUUCUGUCCCCUAAGCGUUGUGGAAACUAUUCGCUAAAGGGUGUUCGGGAGGCUACGCCGUAAAACAACCCCAUUUCUAAGGUUGACCUCGGAUCAGGUAGGGAUACCCGCUGAACUUAAGCAUAUCAAUAAGCGGAGGA